This 72-nucleotide transfer RNA is filed under the name Camelus bactrianus (Bactrian camel). It matches the Rfam family "tRNA". Rfam says of the family: Transfer RNA (tRNA) molecules are approximately 80 nucleotides in length. Their secondary structure includes four short double-helical elements and three loops (D, anti-codon, and T loops). Lineage: Eukaryota; Metazoa; Chordata; Mammalia; Artiodactyla; Camelidae. The record is from Rfam by way of RNAcentral. RNAcentral also lists the same sequence under 2 other names.
GAGCAUAUAGCACAGUGGCAGAGCAUGUGCUUAGCAUGCACAAGGUUCUGGGUUCAAUCCCCUGUACCUCCA